GGGGAUUUAGCUCAGUGGUAGAGCGCUUGCCUAGCAAGUACAGGCCCUGGGUUCAGUCCUCA
This 62-nucleotide transfer RNA is filed under the name Rattus norvegicus (Norway rat). It matches the Rfam family "tRNA". Rfam says of the family: Transfer RNA (tRNA) molecules are approximately 80 nucleotides in length. The record is from Rfam by way of RNAcentral. Lineage: Eukaryota; Metazoa; Chordata; Mammalia; Rodentia; Muridae.